Molecule: ribosomal RNA, 506 nt
Filed under: uncultured bacterium
Lineage: Bacteria
Description: partial 16S ribosomal RNA
Rfam family: Bacterial small subunit ribosomal RNA
Source: RNAcentral
GAUGAACGCUAGCUACAGGCUUAACACAUGCAAGUCGAGGGGUAACGAGAGGAAAGCUUGCUUUCCUCGUCGACGACCGGCGCACGGGUGAGUACCGCGUAUCCAACCUGCCCCCAACUAGGGAAUAACCUUGCGAAAGUAAGACUAAUACCCUAUAAUUUCCUCAGAUGUCAUCUGACGAGGAAUCAAGAUUUACCGGUUGUGGAUGGGGAUGCGUCUGAUUAGCUUGUUGGCUUGGUAACGGCCCACCAAGGCAACGAUCAGUAGGGGUUCUGAGAGGAAGGUCCCCCACAUUGGAACUGAGACACGGUCCAAGCUCCUACGGGAGGCAGCAGUGAGGAAUAUUGGUCAAUGGGCGGAAGCCUGAACCAGCCAAGUAGCGUGCAGGAUGACGGCCCUAUGGGUUGUAAACUGCUUUUAUACAGGAAUAAAGUUAGCCACGUGUGGUUAUUUGUAGGUACUGUAUGAAUAAGGACCGGCUAAUUCCGUGCCAGCCGCCGCCGUAA